Long non-coding RNA from Suricata suricatta (meerkat), 5676 nucleotides. The record is from Ensembl. Lineage: Eukaryota; Metazoa; Chordata; Mammalia; Carnivora; Herpestidae.
AUGCGGAGGGCCCUCCUUCACACUCGUCCUUCAGGCCCUGCCAGAAGCCACGCCCACCUCACGCAGAGCAUGGUGUUCCUUCCACGCUGUGGAGAUGAGGGCUCACCUCCCUGCCGUGCCCAGACCAUGAGGCCACUGCCCUGGAAAGAAGCGGGAGGAAAUAAAAGCAUGUGGACAGGAGAAAUGGGAAGGAAAGGAAGCCACACAGGCAGGCUGCCGGCUCGCCCUGUCUGUGGUCCCCAGUCCAUCCGGAUCCUGACCGGGGGAGCCAGGAAAGACGGACCCAGAGGCCACAAAGACCCCAAGGGUCUCAGCGGCAUACGGACCGCUCCCCCAGACGCGACCUGCGGGAGGCUGUCAGCUGCUAGAAGCCUUGCAUUCCGCUUCGCGUCGUGUCCAGAGCAGGCACAAGGACGUAGCCAUUCCGAAGGGCAGGGCCCCGCCGGUGGAUCCCAGGACCGCGUACCCAGCCCCUCGCAGCCUGUUCUUGUUCUGCAGGAAGUCCGAAGCCUCCCUGCGCCCCGGGACGGCAUGAGGAGGCGCUGUCGAGGCCUGCACAGAGAGCUGGAACGGAAAGGCUGCAGAGGCGGGACUCUGUGGCGGAAGGCCGACGGCUGGGACCGUGGACUUCAGCUCAGUGUGCUGGCAUCCACUCCAAAGACCAGCUCAGGCCCGCUGCAUCUCAGCAGUUAAUUCUAGGAACUCAGGAGCCAGAGCCGGCGUCCGCAGCAGAAGCAGAGGACAGUACAGGGAUCCAAGGCGACCCUUUCUUCUACCACAAAGUCUCAUUGGUGCUUUUCCUUUCCUGUACUCCCAGAUGCCAUCUGGAAAGGGAAAGAGAAGCAGCGUUUACUUAAGACAGACGAGGUUAAGGGUGCCUGGGUGGCUCAGUCGGUUAAGCAUCCAACCUUGGCUCAGGUCAUGAUCUCACGGAUGAACUGUGAUAGGGUUUGAGCCCCGCAUCGGUUCUCUGUUGACCACUCAGAGCCUGGAGCAUGCUUCGGAUUCUGUGUCUCCCUCUCUGUCCCUCCCCUGCUCAUGCUCUGUCUCUGUCUCUCAAAAAUAAAUAAACGUUAAAAACAAUGUAAAAAAAGGGGCAUCUGGGUGGCUCAGUGGGUUAAGCACCAGACUUCAGCUCAGGUCAUGAUCUCAUGGUUUGUGAGUUCGAGCCCCACAUCAGGCUCUGUGCUGACAGCUUGGAGCCUGGAGCCGGAGUUGGUUUCUGUGUCUCCCUCCCCACCGCCCGUCCGCUGCUCACACUCUGUCUCUCUCUCUCAAAACUACAGGGCAGGCGUUGAUAGUGUCCAGUUACAGUCAGCCCUGCAGUCACAGCUAGUGGUGCAGCAGGAGGAGGGAGCCUUUGUGACAGGAGCAGUAGUCAAGGCAGAUGGUGGGCCAAGUGUUCAACAGCAAAGUGGGCGGGACCCACAACAGAGCCAGGAGGACAGACGUCCUGGGGCUGUGGCCUAUGACCACUGCAGGGGGCUUGCAACAAGCCCAUCUUCUCAGUUAGGACCUCUUGGUUGCUAGUGACAGAAAACCCAAACGACAUUAGGCUCUAGGAAUAGCCAAAAUAAAAAUUCGUGUCUUUCUAACGUAAAGUCUUAGGCAGUCCUACAGUGAUAGGUCAGCGCCGUAGUGUUGACGCCCCUUCCCGUCUGGUGUCUACAACCCACAUCCUGUGGCUUUUAGCUCCCGGCACCACACCCACAUUCCUGCAGCCUGAAGUAGACGGGAAGUAGAGCACACACACCUAUCUUAAGGUCGGGAACUAAAAGUUGCAUCAACAGCUUCCUCUUCCAACCUGAUGCCCAAAACACAGUCACAUGGCCACACCUAGGGCCUCAGUUAGCUGUGGCCACAAAAAUGCUUAGUAACAAACAACUACAAAAGAUGAGUGGCAGCCCACAGGAAGCAGUGAUUUCUUGUUCACAUGUCUACAGUGGAGCUGGUGUUGGGCUAGUCUAUGUUGGAUUCAGCUGGACAUGACCCCUGCAGCCUGUUCCAAUCUGUUCUACGUGUCUGUCCCCCUCUUGCCAGCAGCAAGCUACCCAGGGCAUGUGCGCCUCCUGGUCAUGGCCUUCAUGAUGACGGCAGCAUACGUAGGCCUUGGUCAGUCAGGUACGUGGGUUAGAAGCUAUUGGAGAAGGUUGCCCGAGAGCAAGAUUGGUUACCGGGCACGGUCUGAACCCUCUUCUCUACUUACCUAUCGAGAAUCAGAAUGGCAAGAUGAAGGUCUGACCUCAUCACCUUCACAAGCACAUUUAAGGCCUUUGCAUAGAUCCUGCCUGCUAACAUCCUAAUGGCCAACAUAAGUCACACACCCGGGCUCACGUCAGUGGGGCAGAAGGUAGCCUCUCGUGCAGAGAGGAGAGGAAGGAAGGAAUAACCGUCUUAUAAAUGACAAUCUAAUCUGUGAUCUGCAGCACGGUGGCCAUAGUAACUCCAGUUACAACGCUGGCGUUCCAUUCCUAGGGAAAGGAAGGGCAGCUGGACUGGGAGGACGGUCUCCACCCCAACGUGUGUCCGUCAGGAGGCCGUUUCUUCUAGUUAAAUGGAACCAUGAAUGUGUUCCUUGGUGGAAGCAUCCUUCUCUUUGGCACUAGGACGUCCAAACCCACGGAGCCCAAGUCUGCAGAGAUGAGAAGCACAAAAAUUCCUUUGUACAAAGUUCAUGUGAUGUGACCGUGAGGAGGAUCACCCCACGCCACUCAGUCACUGAACCGCCCAGGUGCCCCUCUCUAAAAAUAAAAAAUUAAAACAUACAUUGAAGAAGGAAAAGAGUAAUUUGAACUCAAGGUGAAUAGAAGAAAAUAACAACCAGAGUGAAAUUCAGUGAAAUCCUAAAAAAAACAAUAGAGAAAAGGCCAUGAAACCCAAAACUGAUUCUCUGAGAAAAAAGAAAAACCUAUAGAGUUGUUAAACUAUCAGUCACACUGAUCAGGAAAAAGUAGAGAAAACACAAAUUACCGAUGUCAAGAGUGAGAGAGAGAUGAUCACAGUGUUUACAGAUAUUGAAAGGAUAAUUUAGGAAUGUUACAAACAACUUAGUACCAAUAUACCUAACAACCUAAAUGAGAUGGAUGUAUUUCUCAAAAGACACAAACUGUCAAAAGUCAUUUAUGAAGAAAUAGAUAACCCGAAUAGAGUCACCUCUAUCGACAGUUUUGAAUUUGUAGUUAAAAUCCCCCCUCCCCCCGCAAAGACGCGUUGGCAAUGGCCCACUCAGCUGCAUGAGAGCAAGUCUGUGCUGUGGAGCCCACCACCGUCCCCUUUGGUCACCGUGGCCACUUUGUGAAUGGAUCUAUGAACCAAGCCCUAGAGAGUUUCUGAGGAAGAGGCCAUCCCAUGGUCACAGCUUGUGUCAUCUUGUCCUGAUUGGUGAGCGUCUCAUCGACAACAGAUGGCCCUUGGGGGAGCAUGUACGUGGAACAUGAAUAUCUUUAUACUUUGUGGCUCGCAGGAAGUCCAUCUUUCCCUUGACCUCCUUGUCCCCAGUCUUCUAGUGCUUUCCAAAUUCCUGACCAGCGGGCCAGGCUCACCCACGGGUCAAGUUCGAUCGGUGCCUCGACUAGGUCUGCGGUAGACCUCUGCGCUCAGGAGACCGUCCCUGCGCUGCAGGCUUCCAGGGCCGCUCCAGAGCACUCUGUGCUGCGGCCCUUCCGGCUGCUUCUGUAAGAGGCCUGCGCUCUCCUUGCCCCCGCUAGCUGGCCUUUCUUGUUUCCCCCGAGGACAUGGGUAGAACAUUGAAGGAGGUAUACUCAAGCAGUGGCAUCGGAUACCAGGGCGAUCGGGUAGUGCCCUGUGCCUUUGGAUCUACCCACUGUAUACCGCCUCCAUUUCAUAAUGGCGGGCGGAUAUGCCCCUCCAACGGCAUGGCUCACUCGACUAGAUAAUACGCAGUUCAUGAUAGGUGAGUCAGGUUGGUUGGGUCUCCUCAUGUCUCUUAUUUUCUUUUGUUUUGUUUUUAGAGAGAGAGAGAGCGUGCAAGCUGGGGAAAGGGGCAGAGUGAGAGAGAGAGUCUUCAGCAGGCUCCACGCCCAACUUGGAGCCCGACACACUCUCAAUCCCACAACCCUGGGAUCAUGACCUGAGCUGAAAUCAAGAGUCAGACGCUAACCGACGGAGUCCCCCAGGCUCCCUCCUCGUGUCCUCCUCCUCCCCCACCUGUGCUGUAUCCCGGGCCACUGCCGUGAUGACGUGCUUGCUCGUGAGGGCACCGUGUUUCACAGAUUGCCAGGGUCCUGUUUUGCUACCACAAGGGGGUCAUCCAUGCCUUCCUCAUAUACGUGAGCAGCUCAGUUCUGGAAUCCUAUUUUCUUUUUCAACAAUUCUGUACAUCACACCCUGCUCACCACAGUAGUUUACCUUCUGUCACCGUGCCGUGUUAUUACAGUGUUGCCGACUGCAUCCCCAUGCUGUGCUUUCCGUUUCCAUGGCUUAUUUAUUUUAUAACCGGAAGUUUGUACCUCUUUAUACCUUUCACCUAUUUCACCCCCCCCACCUCCCCUCUGGCAACCACCAGUUUGUUCUCUGCAUUUAUGGGUCUGUUUCUGGUUCUUUGCUUGAUUGUUUAUUGUUUGCUUUUUUAUUUUAUUGUUUAUAUUUUGCUUGUUUAUUGUUUGCUUCUUAGACUCCACGUGUAAGUGAGAUCUUACGGUAUUUGUCUUUCUCUGCCUGACUUACCGCACUUAGUACAUCUCUGGGUCCAUCCAUGUUGUCACAAAUGGUAAGAUCUCCUUCUUUUUUACAUCUGAUCUUAUUCUUUUUUAAGUCCAUUGUAUACAUACCACGUCUUCUUUAUCCACGGAGUCCUUUUUUCCCCUCCAUGAAAUCCUAUUUCAAAACCACUCCCAAUACCAAUCAUUGUACUAGUCGGGUCCCAAAAGGAGAUACUCGGCGUACUUAAAAUGGGUAACUUGAGGAGAGUUUGCUGAAGGAGCUUUUGGCAGAGUCACGGUCAGGGAUUAGGGAAUCCAAAGGGGAUGUGCUGUCCAAGAUUGGCAGCCUUGGGGAGCGAAACAGCCGUGGGCCAUGAAGGAGAAAGGAGAUGGAGGAUACUGGAACGAGAGAAGGUGAGGGACGGAGAAAGCUACGGCAAGUGGCUAUAGCCUCUGAGAGAGAUGAAGCUGGCCCGCAGCAAGCUCUCAAGAAGGGAGGCAGCCUUCCCUGACUUCCACCUCUCCCUGCUCUCUGAUCUCCUGCUGGUGCCCCCGUUGGCCACCAGCAAACCAGAGAGCAAAGGGAGCCUAUUGAUGUCAUCCUUGAAGGUUAGUGCCCUGAGGCACAGAGCCUGGCAGAGAAGAGGGGAGGAGAGGCGGAGGAGGAGACCAUCUCGAUCCAGCACACAACCCAAACCAGUUAAAACAAACAGGGAAUUCACUGGCUCACCGCAAAGUCAGGCUGUAAGGCUUGAAGCAAAGGCUCAAAUGAGGUCGUCAGCAUCUGGUGUCUCCUCCAUUCGCAGGCUUCAUACACAGGCAGGCUCUCCCAUUCAUGCUCCAAAAUGGCUCCAGAAGGCACAGCCUUUUCCACUCAAACACAGUGGAAUCAUGUUUGCACUCACAGGUCUAACAGGAGAACGGGAGAAACCUAAUGGAGGACCAGGGGGAGGGGAAGAGGGAGAGAGAGUUGGGGAGAGAGAGGGACGCAAAACCUGAGAGACUGUUGAUACUG